GACGAACGCUGGCGGCGUGCUUAACACAUGCAAGUCGAACGGGUCUGCCCUGUUUUUUGCGGGGUGGGUCAGUGGCGAACGGGUGAGUAACACGUGAGUAACCUGCCCCUCACUUCUGGAUAACCGCUUGAAAGGGUGGCUAAUACGGGGUGUUCUGGCUGUGCCGCAUGGUGUGGCUGGGAAAGAUUCACUUUUGUGUUGUUUUGGUGGGGGAUGGGCUCGCGGCCUAUCAGCUUGUUGGGGGGGUGAUGGCCUGCCAAGGCUUUGACGGGUAGCCGGCCUGGGAGGGUGGGCGGUCACACUGGGACUGAGAUACGGCCCAGACUCCGGCGGGAGGCAGCAGUGGGGGGUAUUGCACAAUGGGCGGAAGCCUGAUGCAGCGACGUCGCGGGAGGGAUGGAGGCCUUCGGGUUGUGAACCUCUUUCGCCGGUGAAGAAGGUCCUGCUCUUUGUGGUGGGGUUGACGGUAGCCGGGUUAUGAAGCGCCGGCUAACUACGUG
This 500-nucleotide ribosomal RNA is filed under the name uncultured bacterium. RNAcentral's name for it is "partial 16S ribosomal RNA". It matches the Rfam family "Bacterial small subunit ribosomal RNA", at positions 28 to 507 of the family's 1533-position model. The record is from RNAcentral.